GCUCAGAAUCAACGCUGGCGGCGUGCCUAACACAUGCAAGUCGAACGAGAAAGUGGAGCAAUCCAUGAGUACAGUGGCGCACGGGUGAGUAACACGUGACUAACCUACCCUUGAGUGGGGGAUAACUGAGGGAAACCUUAGCUAAUACCGCAUAAUACCUACGGGUCAAAGGAGCAAUUCGCUUUAGGAGGGGGUCGCGGCCGAUUAGUUAGUUGGCGGGGUAAUGGCCCACCAAGACGAUGAUCGGUAUCCGGCCUGAGAGGGCGCACGGACACACUGGAACUGAAACACGGUCCAGACUCCUACGGGAGGCAGCAGUGGGGAAUUUUGCGCAAUGGGGGAAACCCUGACGCAGCAACGCCGCGUGGAGGAUGAAGUCCUUCGGGACGUAAACUCCUUUCGAUCGGGACGAUUAUGACGGUACCGGAAGAAGAAGCCCCGGCUAACUUCGUGCCAGCAGCCGCGGUAAUACGAGGGGGGCGAGCGUUGUUCGGAAUUAUUGGGCGUAAAGGGUGCGUAGGCGGUUUGGUAAGUCUGAUGUGAAAUCUAUGGGCUCAACUCAUAGUCUGCAUCGGAAACUGCCGGGCUUGAGUAUGGGAGAGGUGAGUGGAAUUCCUGGUGUAGCGGUGAAAUGCGUAGAUAUCAGGAGGAACACCUGUGGCGAAAGCGGCUCACUGGACCAUAACUGACGUUGAUGCACGAAAGCUAGGGGAGCAAACAGGAUUAGAUACCCUGGUAGUCCUAGCCCUAAACGAUGACUGCUUGGUGUGACGGGUACCCAAUCCCGCCGUGCCGUAGCUAACGCGUUAAGCAGUCCGCCUGGGGAGUACGGUCGCAAUGCUGAAAC
This 847-nucleotide ribosomal RNA is filed under the name uncultured bacterium. RNAcentral describes it as "bacterial SSU rRNA". It matches the Rfam family "Bacterial small subunit ribosomal RNA", at positions 22 to 900 of the family's 1533-position model. The record is from RNAcentral.